RNAcentral lists this ribosomal RNA (429 nucleotides) under Chloroflexota bacterium. RNAcentral's name for it is "Chloroflexi bacterium partial 16S ribosomal RNA". It matches the Rfam family "Bacterial small subunit ribosomal RNA", at positions 355 to 776 of the family's 1533-position model. Lineage: Bacteria; Bacillati; Chloroflexota. The record is from RNAcentral.
UGGGGAAUAUUGCACAAUGGGCGCAAGCCUGAUGCAGCCAUGCCGCGUGUAUGAAGAAGGCCUUCGGGUUGUAAAGUACUUUCAGUCGGGAGGAAGGUGGUAAGGUUAAUAACCUUAUCAAUUGACGUUACCGACAGAAGAAGCACCGGCUAACUCCAUGCCAGCAGCCGCGGUAAUACGGAGGGUGCAAGCGUUAAUCGGAAUUACUGGGCGUAAAGCGCACGCAGGCGGUUUGUUAAGUCAGAUGUGAAAUCCCCGGGCUCAACCUGGGAACUGCAUCUGAUACUGGCAAGCUUGAGUCUCGUAGAGGGGGGUAGAAUUCCAGGUGUAGCGGUGAAAUGCGUAGAGAUCUGGAGGAAUACCGGUGGCGAAGGCGGCCCCCUGGACGAAGACUGACGCUCAGGUGCGAAAGCGUGGGGAGCAAACAGG